CAGUGGGGAAUCUUGGACAUGGGGGCAACCCUGAUCCAGCGACGCCGCGUGGGUGAUGAAGGCCUUCGGGUUGUAAAGCCCUUUCACCGGGGACGAUGAUGACGGUACCCGGAGAAGAAGCACCGGCUAACUCCGUGCCAGCAGCCGCGGUAAGACGGAGGGUGCUAGCGUUGUUCGGAAUCACUGGGCGUAAAGGGCGCGUAGGCGGCGCCGCAAGUCGGCUGUGAAAGCCCGGGGCUCAACCCCGGAGGUGCAGCCGAGACUGUGGUGCUGGAGGCCGGAAGAGGAGGGUGGAAUACCCAGUGUAGAGGUGAAAUUCGUAGAUAUUGGGUGGAACACCGGUGGCGAAAGCGGCUCUCUGGUCCGGACCUGACGCUGAGGCGCGAAAGCGUGGGGAGCAAACAGGAUUAGUUACCCUGGUAGUCCACGCCCUAAACGAUGUGAGCUAGGCGUCGGGGGGCUUGCCCUUCGGUGCCGCAGCUAACGCAUUAAGCUCACCGCCUGGGGAGUACGGCCGCAAGGUUA
Molecule: ribosomal RNA, 525 nt
Filed under: uncultured Pseudomonadota bacterium
Lineage: Bacteria; Pseudomonadati; Pseudomonadota
Description: bacterial SSU rRNA
Rfam family: Bacterial small subunit ribosomal RNA
Source: RNAcentral